GAUGAACGCUGGCGGCGUGCCUAAUACAUGCCAGUCGAGCGAACGGACGAGAAGCUUGCUUCUCUGAUGUUAGCGGCGGACGGGUGAGUAACACGUGGAUAACCUACCUAUAAGACUGGGAUAACUUCGGGAAACCGGAGCUAAUACCGGAUAAUAUUUUGAACCGCAUGGUUCAAAAGUAAAAGACGGUCUUGCUGUCACUUAUAGAUGGAUCCGCGCUGCAUUAUCUAGUUGGUAAGGUAACGGCUUACCAAGGCAACGAUGCAUAGCCGACCUGAGAGGGUGAUCGGCCACACUGGAACUGAGACACGGUCCAGACUCCUACGGGAGGCAGCAGUAGGGAAUCUUCCGCAAUGGGCGAAAGCCUGACGGAGCAACGCCGCGUGAGUGAUGAAGGUCUUCGGAUCGUAAAACUCUGUUAUUAGGGAAGAACAUAUGUGUAAGUAACUGUGCACAUCUUGACGGUACCUAAUCAGAAAGCCACGGCUAACUACGUG
Molecule: ribosomal RNA, 497 nt
Filed under: uncultured bacterium
Lineage: Bacteria
Description: partial 16S ribosomal RNA
Rfam family: Bacterial small subunit ribosomal RNA
Source: RNAcentral